This 1035-nucleotide ribosomal RNA is filed under the name Symmetrospora sp. RNAcentral describes it as "partial 28S ribosomal RNA". The stretch from base 420 to 1035 matches the Rfam family "Eukaryotic large subunit ribosomal RNA", at positions 1 to 620 of the family's 3401-position model. The record is from RNAcentral. Lineage: Eukaryota; Fungi; Basidiomycota; Cystobasidiomycetes; Symmetrosporaceae.
AACGCAUUAGUUUAAGAAUGUAAAAUCAGUCUCGAAAGAGCAUAAAAUAAAUAAAACUUUCAGCAACGGAUCUCUUGGCUCUCGCAUCGAUGAAGAACGCAGCGAAAUGCGAUACGUAAUGUGAAUUGCAGAAUUCAGUGAAUCAUCGAAUCUUUGAACGCACCUUGCACUCUUUGGUAUUCCGAAGAGUAUGUCUGUUUGAGUGUCAUGAAACUUUCAACCCCCCUCAUUUGUAAUGAAAUGUAGCGUGGGCUUGGUUUAUGGCUGUUUGCCGGCAUAAAUGUCGGCUCAGCUGAAAUAUACGAGCAACCCAGUUUAAAUACCUGACGGCUUGACUCGGCGUAAUAACUAUUUCGCUGAGGACGUCUAACCUUUAAAUCGUUAGUGGUGCUUCUAAUGCAUUAAUCAUCUUAAGCUUUAGACCUCAAAUCAGUCAGGACUACCCGCUGAACUUAAGCAUAUCAAUAAGCGGAGGAAAAGAAACUAACAAGGAUUCCCCUAGUAACGGCGAGUGAAGUGGGAAAAGCUCAACUUUGUAAUCUGGCAGCUUUGCUGUCCGAGUUGUAGUCUCGAGAAGUGUUUUCCGCGCUGGAUCGUGUAUGAGUCUGUUGGAAUACAGCGUCAUAGAGGGUGAGAACCCCGUUCGUGACACGACUACCAGUGCUUUGUGAUACAUUUUCGAUGAGUCGAGUUGUUUGGGAAUGCAGCUCAAAUUGGGUGGUAAAUUCCAUCUAAAGCUAAAUAUUGGCGAGAGACCGAUAGCAAACAAGUACCGUGAGGGAAAGAUGAAAAGCACUUUGGAAAGAGAGUUAACAGUACGUGAAAUUGUUGAAAGGGAAACGUUUGAAGUCAGACGUGCGUUGUGCGAUUCAGCUCCGGUUCGCCGGAGUGUAUUUCGUACUAUUGCAGGCCAGCAUCGGUUUGGCGAGUCGGAUAAAGGUUAGAGAAAGGUAGCGGCUCCGGCCGUGUUAUAGUCUUUAACUGAAUACGAAUUGCUAGACCGAGGGACGCAGCGCGCCGCAAGGCAAAGCUCUC